This 433-nucleotide ribosomal RNA is filed under the name uncultured bacterium. Its description in RNAcentral is "partial 16S ribosomal RNA". It matches the Rfam family "Bacterial small subunit ribosomal RNA", at positions 29 to 507 of the family's 1533-position model. The record is from RNAcentral.
AACGAACGCUGGCGGCAUGCCUAACACAUGCAAGUCGAACGAACCCUUCGGGGUUAGUGGCGCACGGGUGCGUAACGCGUGGGAAUCUGCCCUUUGCUUCGGAAUAACUCAGGGAAACUUGUGCUAAUACCGGAUGAUGUCUUCGGACCAAAGAUUUAUCGGCAAGGGAUGAGCCCGCGUAGGAUUAGGUAGUUGGUGGGGUAAAGGCCUACCAAGCCGACGAUCCUUAGCUGGUCUGAGAGGAUGAUCAGCCACACUGGGACUGAGACACGGCCCAGACUCCUACGGGAGGCAGCAGGGGGGAAUAUUGGACAAUGGGCGCAAGCCUGAUCCAGCAAUGCCGCGUGAGUGAUGAAGGCCCUCGGGUCGUAAAGCUCUUUUACCAGGGAUGAUAAUGACAGUACCUGGAGAAUAAGCGCCGGCUAACUCCGUG